UAUAUGUCAAAAUGACGUUAUUUUACUUUGAAUAAUAUAUUUACACAACGAUUUUAUAGAAAUUAUACAUAUAAUGGAUUAUUUACGUAAAAAAAUUAAAUAUACGGCUGGUAUUAGUACUAAAAAUCCUGUUUUCGAAUCGAGAGCGAUGCGUUUUCCAUAUACUUUUACAGCUAAAUUAGUACAAUUUCCUUAUUUACAUUAUUAUAAAAAUAAUUGGAUAUGUAGAUACUACGUUUUUGGUGUUUUUUUAUCAAUACCCGUAUUUAUGUAUAUUAGCAAAUUGUCUAAUUCUCCAAGUAAUAUCGCGAAAUGGGAGGAAAUUCGACGAAAAGAAAGAGAAGAAUUACUUCAUAAAUUCGAUUGACUCAACUUUAUUAUUAUUAUUAUAAAUCGUAUAUUUUUGAUAUAAAUGGAUAUUUUUAUGUGUA
This is a long non-coding RNA of Diorhabda carinulata, 431 nucleotides long. RefSeq lists it as uncharacterized. The record is from RefSeq and is a predicted model, not a curated record. NCBI's taxonomy places the organism in Eukaryota, Metazoa, Arthropoda, Insecta, Coleoptera, Chrysomelidae. The transcript has 2 exons.